This 253-nucleotide ribosomal RNA is filed under the name uncultured bacterium. RNAcentral describes it as "partial 16S ribosomal RNA". It matches the Rfam family "Bacterial small subunit ribosomal RNA", at positions 524 to 776 of the family's 1533-position model. The record is from RNAcentral.
GACAGAGGGUGCAAACGUUGCUCGGAAUUACUGGGCGUAAAGCGCGUGUAGGCUGACCGGAAAGUCGGGCGUGAAAUCCCUGAGCUCAACUCAGGAACUGCACUCGAAACUCCCGGUCUAGAGUGGUGGAGAGGGAAGUGGAAUUCCUGGUGUAAAGGUGAAAUUCGUAGAUAUCAGGAGGAACACCAGUGGCGAAGGCGGCUUCCUGGACACCAACUGACGCUGAGACGCGAAAGCGUGGGGAGCAAACAGG